Balaenoptera ricei (Rice's whale) is the source of this 614-nucleotide long non-coding RNA. RefSeq lists it as uncharacterized. The record is from RefSeq and is a predicted model, not a curated record. The transcript is spliced from 5 exons. Lineage: Eukaryota; Metazoa; Chordata; Mammalia; Artiodactyla; Balaenopteridae.
CCUCAGUUGCAGGAUUAAAGACCGGAAAUUUCUUGCCACUCACUGAACUAUGCCAUUCAUUGUUUAUGAAGAUCUGCAGAAGAGGAGAAAAGAAUAAAAAAUUCCCAGCCGAAGUGUCCAAGGUGUGCGACACAAUCCCAGUCCUCAAGUGACCUUAACCUCAGUAAAGAACUCUUAAAUAAAUAACUUAAAAUUGAAUCAAAGGACCUAGAAUCCAGUAGCUACAUAUGGGAUCAAUUUGUUGAACUUCUUUUGCUCAGUGACAUCUGCCAUCCCCGACACUUCAUUGUCACCUUCAGCAUGACUGGGCUUUCAGGAGUGGUCACUGCUUCUCACCUGUGCAAGCUCUAGGUUCUUCAGUACCCCUUGUGGAUUGUCUACCCUUCUGUAAAAAAUUCCUUCAUUAUAUCAUUUACAGAACUCCAGCCAGGAUUGAACCCAGGCCACAGCAGUGAAAGCACCGAAUCUUAACCACCAGACCAUCGGGGAACUCCCUUAAAUGUUAUAGCUAGGAUUCAUUCAUAUUGUUGCUUGUCACGUAGUUUCUUUAUUUUGACUGCUGGGUACUAUACUUUUCUGAUAAUAGUUUAUUCAUCCAGUCUUUGAUAAUGGGU